This 468-nucleotide ribosomal RNA is filed under the name uncultured bacterium. RNAcentral describes it as "partial 16S ribosomal RNA". It matches the Rfam family "Bacterial small subunit ribosomal RNA", at positions 28 to 507 of the family's 1533-position model. The record is from RNAcentral.
GACGAACGCUGGCGGCGUGCUUAACACAUGCAAGUCGAACGGAAAGGCCCUGCUUUUGUGGGGUGCUCGAGUGGCGAACGGGUGAGUAACACGUGAGUAACCUGCCCUUGACUUUGGGAUAACUUCAGGAAACUGGGGCUAAUACCGGAUAGGAGCUCCUGCUGCAUGGUGGGGGUUGGAAAGUUUCGGCGGUUGGGGAUGGACUCGCGGCUUAUCAGCUUGUUGGUGGGGUAGUGGCUUACCAAGGCUUUGACGGGUAGCCGGCCUGAGAGGGUGACCGGCCACAUUGGGACUGAGAUACGGCCCAGACUCCUACGGGAGGCAGCAGUGGGGAAUAUUGCACAAUGGGCGGAAGCCUGAUGCAGCAACGCCGCGUGCGGGAUGACGGCCUUCGGGCUGUAAACCGCUUUCGCCUGUGACGAAGCGUGAGCGACGGUAAUGGGUAAAGAAGCACCGGCUAACUACGUG